Molecule: ribosomal RNA, 385 nt
Filed under: Salmonella enterica subsp. enterica
Lineage: Bacteria; Pseudomonadati; Pseudomonadota; Gammaproteobacteria; Enterobacterales; Enterobacteriaceae
Also listed under: 1 other name
Description: partial 23S ribosomal RNA
Rfam family: Bacterial large subunit ribosomal RNA
Source: RNAcentral
GAAUGCUGACAUAAGUAACGAUAAAGCGGGUGAAAAGCCCGCUCGCCGGAAGACCAAGGGUUCCUGUCCAACGUUAAUCGGGGCAGGGUGAGUCGACCCCUAAGGCGAGGCCGAAAGGCGUAGUCGAUGGGAAACGGGUUAAUAUUCCCGUACUUGGUGUUACUGCGAAGGGGGGACGGAGAAGGCUAUGUUGGCCGGGCGACGGUUGUCCCGGUUUAAGCGUGUAGGUGUGUGUUCCAGGUAAAUCCGGUUCACUUUAACACUGAGGCGUGACGACGAGGCACUACGGUGCUGAAGCAACAAAUGCCCUGCUUCCAGGAAAAGCCUCUAAGCAUCAGGUAACACGAAAUCGUACCCCAAACCGACACAGGUGGUCAGGUAGAGA